GUCUAUUUGUAGGUAUAGAAAGUCUGGCCUGCCCACUGAUAUUAUUAAAGGGCCGCGGUAAUUUGACCGUGCAAAGGUAGCAUAAUCGUUAGUUCCUUAAUUGGGAUCUUGUAUGAAUGGUUGGACAAAAGAAUGACUGUCUCUAUGCUUUUAUUGAAUUUAACUUUUAAGUGAAAAGGCUUAAAUACUUUAGAAAGACGAUAAGACCCUGUAAAGCUUAAUAAGUCAGAGUAUUUAGCUGAUUUAAUGGAUAAAAGUUUAAUGCAAGGGGCUUAUUUUGUUGGGGCGACAAUGAUAAAAUGUUUGUUAACUGUUUAUAAUAAAAGACAAGAUUUUAUGUUUGAAGAGUAAAUAAAUGAUCCUUUAAUUAAGAUUAAAAGUUUAAGUUACUUCAGGGAUAACAGCGUUAUUUUUUUUGAGAGUUCAUAUCGAAAAAAAAGUUUGCGACCUCGAUGUUGAAUUAAAAUUUCUAUAUAGUUGCAGCAGCUAUAUGAGAAGGUCUGUUCGACCUUUAAAUUUUU
Molecule: ribosomal RNA, 521 nt
Filed under: Gelasimus neocultrimana
Lineage: Eukaryota; Metazoa; Arthropoda; Malacostraca; Decapoda; Ocypodidae
Description: partial 16S rRNA
Rfam family: Bacterial large subunit ribosomal RNA
Source: RNAcentral